AAAAGAUCCUAAGAACAUUAACUCCUCUUUGAAAUCUACAAGGGAUUUUUCACAACCUCAAAACAUUACUUAGCUCCUAACAACUUUGCUAGCCCUCUUUUUCUUUUUUUUUUUUUUUUUUUUUUUUUUUUUUUUUUUUUUUUUUUUUUUUUUUUUUUUUUUUUUUUUUUUUUUUUUUUUUUUUUUUUUUUUUUUUUUUUUUUUUUUUUUUUUUUUUUUUUUUUUUUUUUUUUUUUAGAUGGGGGCCAAGACUUUUCAUAACUUGAGCUAGAGGUUUUUCUACUUAUCCCAAUAAGACAAUUCACUUAAACACAAAGAGUCAUUUUUUUUCCUUUUUCAUUGCUCCCAAAUCAUAAUCACAACUCUCACCCCC
Molecule: long non-coding RNA, 373 nt
Filed under: Brassica napus (rape)
Lineage: Eukaryota; Viridiplantae; Streptophyta; Magnoliopsida; Brassicales; Brassicaceae
Description: long non-coding RNA (BNAP_LNC027185)
Source: RNAcentral